UAUUGAUAAGUACUUUGUGAUGAUGCGAUUUUUGGUUGCUUCAAGUUUGCCUAUUAGGUAAGAUGCAAGCCAAGAUAUGGCAGCUUAAAUAUGAAAAGCCUCAAUUUCACUUAUCCUUAUUCAAGCGAAAUUGACUGAGGUGUUAAUUAUUAGAUCCUAUUGUUAUUCAAGGUGCUCUAAUGAUUAUGUUGAAUGGUUUUACUCUCUUUCUUAUUUGUUUGGAGAGGAGAGGAGGAUGCUUUUCUAGGCAUGUUAGUGGGGGAAAAACAGAGGAGGAGGAGG
RNAcentral lists this unclassified non-coding RNA (282 nucleotides) under Hevea brasiliensis (rubber tree). Lineage: Eukaryota; Viridiplantae; Streptophyta; Magnoliopsida; Malpighiales; Euphorbiaceae. The record is from RNAcentral.